RNAcentral lists this ribosomal RNA (292 nucleotides) under uncultured bacterium. Its description in RNAcentral is "partial 16S ribosomal RNA". It matches the Rfam family "Bacterial small subunit ribosomal RNA", at positions 505 to 796 of the family's 1533-position model. The record is from RNAcentral.
GUGCCAGCCGCCGCGGUAAUACGUAGGGGGCGAGCGUUGUCCGGAUUCAUUGGGCGUAAAGCGCGCGCAGGCGGUUGGGAGAGCCCGGCGUGAAAGCCCCCAGCUCAACUGGGGGAGGCCGUCGGGGACCUUCCGACUGGAGGCCGGUAGGGGCGAGCGGAAUUCCCGGUGUAGUGGUGGAAUGCGUAGAUAUCGGGAGGAACACCAGUGGCGAAGGCGGCUCGCUGGACCGGUCCUGACGCUCAGGCGCGAAAGCGUGGGGAGCGAUCCGGAUUAGAAACCCUUGUAGUCC